UGCCAGCAGCCGCGGUAAUACGGAGGGUGCAAGCGUUGUUCGGAAUCACUGGGCAUAAAGAGCACGUAGGCGGCUCGCUAAGUCAGAUGUGAAAGCCCUGGGCUUAACCCGGGAAUUGCAUUUGAUACUGGCGAGCUAGAGGACAGCAGGGGUAAGUGGAACUCCAGGUGGAACGGUGAAAUGUGUAGAUAUCUGGAGGAACACCGGUGGCGAAAGCGGCUUACUGGGCUGUCUCUGACGCUGAGGUGCGAAAGCGUGGGGAGCAAACAGGAUUAGAUA
This 279-nucleotide ribosomal RNA is filed under the name uncultured bacterium. RNAcentral describes it as "partial 16S ribosomal RNA". It matches the Rfam family "Bacterial small subunit ribosomal RNA", at positions 506 to 784 of the family's 1533-position model. The record is from RNAcentral.